UCAGUCACGAGGUAUUGGAUUCAUCCACAGAAGAAUGUGCAUGAUUAGGAAAGUAAACUACAGGAAAUGGGCAGUUGGUUGGAUGGACAGAAUAGACCCAAGAUUCAAGAAGCCAAUGGCUUUCAUCAAAGAUUCAAUUACAAGCAGGGAAAAACCUCUGAUAUGUAAUGAGAUUUAGGACCUUUACAAGAGAAUUCUUGGAUGAGGGAGGUUUAACUUGGUUAGGCUUUGAU
RNAcentral lists this long non-coding RNA (233 nucleotides) under Theobroma cacao (cacao). RNAcentral describes it as "long non-coding RNA (TCAC_LNC004000)". The record is from RNAcentral. Lineage: Eukaryota; Viridiplantae; Streptophyta; Magnoliopsida; Malvales; Malvaceae.